This 253-nucleotide ribosomal RNA is filed under the name uncultured bacterium. Its description in RNAcentral is "partial 16S ribosomal RNA". It matches the Rfam family "Bacterial small subunit ribosomal RNA", at positions 524 to 776 of the family's 1533-position model. The record is from RNAcentral.
UACGAAGGGGGCUAGCGUUGUUCGGAAUCACUGGGCGUAAAGCGCUCGUAGGCGGAUCUUUAAGUCAGGGGUGAAAUCCCGAGGCUCAACCUCGGAACUGCCUUUGAUACUGGGGAUCUCGAGUCCGGGAGAGGUGAGUGGAACUGCGAGUGUAGAGGUGAAAUUCGUAGAUAUUGGGAAGAACACCGGUGGCGAAGGCGGCUCUCUGGACCGACACUGACGCUGAGGCGCGAAAGCGUGGGGAGCAAACAGG